UGGACCAAUCUGGAAUGGUGGUCAUGUCUCUGUGAUAACAUAAUUAGGAAGAAAAAGUUAUUGCGCAGAUGUAAUUAUGGCCAGGGAAGAGGGACAUGAGAACGUGUGAGAAGAACAGCUCUGCAGACACUGAGGUCAGUGGAAAAGGAGGGGCAGGAGGCGCUUCAGGCGCCAGAGCUGGGAUUUCCCUGCAGCCUGCAGUGACCACGAUGGUGAAGCAGCUGUGCCUCUGCAGCUGAUGGAGACCCCUUGCGAUGCAGAGAUCCACCCACAGGCUGUGGAAGACCCCAUGCUGGAGCAGGGAAGGACUACUUUGCCUGAGCAGCAACAGGAGCAGCAGCCGGAACAGCAGUGUGAUGAACUGACCAUAAUCCCAUUCCCAUCUUUCUGCCCUGCUGGGGUGGGGUCUCCCGCGAAUUGCAGCAUAAUGUCCUGAGAGGUGUUGGGGCUAACCCGGGAUUUGCCUGAGCAAUGUGGGCUGACCUCUUUGCUUUUCUGCUUCGGGAUCAAAGAGAGGCCUAGCCUGUUGCCAAGAGGAUGACAACCCCCCCUCGGACGGUGGGGAGAGGGGGAUAUUUGCAUCUCAGGAGACAUGCAAAUUUACCUCCAAACCCAGACUGCAUUGGGACAGGACCUUCACCAAAUCCUGGAAAAUACCCCAAAAGAGGUGAGCCGAAGCAGAACUGAGAGGUCAGGGUGGUGUCUGGACAGCAGGGCCGAGGUCCGAAGCCAGCUGAGACGCUUGAAAACCUCGGUCACUCCUCGCCCCAAUUAAAAACAAUGCCAGUUGGACCCAGGACCCCUGGACUGAUAACCCAAACUGAAACCCUGGGUAUACCCCCACUGCCCUUGCGAGUACAGGACUCCCGGCUCUGCUCCCUUGGGGACAGAGCUGCAAAUCCUCCUCUUCUGAUUCCCUGUUGGGAGCGGCGGCAGAACUUUGUGGAUCUGCUGAACCCCCCAUUUUCGAGCUGAUCACUUUAA
This is a long non-coding RNA of Serinus canaria (Common canary), 984 nucleotides long. RefSeq lists it as uncharacterized. NCBI's taxonomy places the organism in Eukaryota, Metazoa, Chordata, Aves, Passeriformes, Fringillidae. The transcript is spliced from 3 exons. The record is from RefSeq and is a predicted model, not a curated record.